This 656-nucleotide ribosomal RNA is filed under the name Gordonia sp. YIM 75629-1. RNAcentral describes it as "bacterial SSU rRNA". It matches the Rfam family "Bacterial small subunit ribosomal RNA", at positions 78 to 748 of the family's 1533-position model. Lineage: Bacteria; Bacillati; Actinomycetota; Actinomycetes; Mycobacteriales; Gordoniaceae. The record is from RNAcentral.
GCUUGCUGGGUACUCGAGUGGCGAACGGGUGAGUAACACGUGGGUGAUCUGCCCUGCACUCUGGGAUAAGCCUGGGAAACUGGGUCUAAUACCGGAUAUGACCAACUGUCGCAUGGUGGUUGGUGGAAAGCUUUUGCGGUGUGGGAUGGGCCCGCGGCCUAUCAGCUUGUUGGUGGGGUAAUGGCCUACCAAGGCGACGACGGGUAGCCGACCUGAGAGGGUGAUCGGCCACACUGGGACUGAGACACGGCCCAGACUCCUACGGGAGGCAGCAGUGGGGAAUAUUGCACAAUGGGCGCAAGCCUGAUGCAGCGACGCCGCGUGAGGGAUGACGGCCUUCGGGUUGUAAACCUCUUUCACCAGGGACGAAGCGUGAGUGACGGUACCUGGAGAAGAAGCACCGGCCAACUACGUGCCAGCAGCCGCGGUAAUACGUAGGGUGCGAGCGUUGUCCGGAAUUACUGGGCGUAAAGAGCUCGUAGGCGGUUUGUCGCGUCGUCUGUGAAAUUCUGCAACUCAAUUGCAGGCGUGCAGGCGAUACGGGCAGACUUGAGUACUACAGGGGAGACUGGAAUUCCUGGUGUAGCGGUGAAAUGCGCAGAUAUCAGGAGGAACACCGGUGGCGAAGGCGGGUCUCUGGGUAGUAACUGACGCUG